UUGCCAUACUAUUUUCCACAGUGGCUGGACUAAUUUACGCUCCCACCAACAGUGUAUAAGAGUUGCCUUUUCUCUGCAUACUUACCAACAUGUGUUAUUUUUUGUGCUUUUCAUAAUUGCCAUUCCAUGACUGGUUGAUUUCUUUACAAACUUUCCAGAAUAAAGUUCCUUAAUUUCCCCUGCUUUUAAAGAAUUGGAUGAAAUCUUAAGCUUAGCACAUCUAAUAGAAGUAGACCAUCAAGAGCAAGAAACAGAAAACUGAACCCCAUUUGAACUUGCUUCUCCUUAAGUCCUGUCCAAGACACAAAAGGAACAAAAAUGGCAUUGAGCCUUUCCUAGAUCCUGGCUGCUUAUGUCCAAGAUGAAGCUAGGACCUUCAGAAGCAAGCUCAAGAGAUGAUGAAUGAAGGAAGGUGGAGCUCCGAAGACCAUGAAGAACUGCUACAGAAGAAAACAAGCUUUCAAUAAAAUAAAAGAGACAUCAAUCACACAUUUUACCCAUUUAUGAAACAUGCUCAGGACAAGGUACUCAGACGUGAAGAAGCAUUCCCAGGAACCAUCUUGGAGAACUGGACUUGGUAACAUGAGAGCUGGGAAGUCCCAAUUCUUGGUCAUGAAGAGUCUACCACGAAGAGAAUUGGUUUGGAAACCAGAAGGCUAACUUUUACAUGAGGCACCAGGGCUAAUGCCCACAGAUUUCAGAGAGGACAAUAAUGGGUAUUUCUGAUGUUGAAAUCCUAGGAUUGAUCUGACAGCACAAACCAAAUGCCAGCAGUUUCCCUGGAGUUCUGCUGCGUGCUUUUGCCAACCCUGAUGAUCCAGAGGACCUCACAUCUCAAGUGGCUCCUAUGGUGAAGGAACUACGGAGUUUCUCUGAGCACCUAAGAUUACUCUGCUUCAAGGAACUCAUGAGUGUGUGGACAGAAAAUAUCUUUGAGGGAUUCCCAGGAGUGACUCCAAUGAAAGACCAAGAGAGUGAGUACACAUAGGCUGUUGUUCCAUUUCUCCAGAGGCCUUUCAGACCUGAUUUAGGCAGGACAGAAUUUCUUUGGAAGAGUCCCUGAGUUCCACAUUUCUAGAAUUCUACAACCUGAAUGGUAGGUCUGGCUGUCCCUCCAUCAGGCUGUACUUAUUUAAUAAAUACCCCAACCAUUAGGAACUCAAGGGGAAACGAGUUGGAAUUAGAAGACACUGUUUUUUGGUUCUGGUUUUUUCUUUUAUGACCAGCUCAUGUCAGGUCCCAAAACGAAGAGGAGGGCAGGUCUCAAACUAGGAGAAGAGAUUUACACUUUCUCUCACCAAAAGGAGGAUUGUAAUCCCCCAAAUAUGGUUGAUCAGUGAGUGACCCUUGAGUUAGCAGAAGCUGGAGCUACUAUGUAAUGGCCGUAUGGAUGAGGAGACAGUCAGAGGCAAGGUGUCCACAUGGUUCAGUGAGGGUCUUCCUCUACCUUUAGCUUGGCCUCUUUGAACAUAUCUAAUUGCAGUCUUCCAGGGUAAUUUUGAAGACAGAAACUUUAAGAUGAUAAUAUCAGCUUAAUAAAGACAGGAGGUUUUGUUCCCAUCUCCCCCCGUUCUCUUCUGGCCCCUGCAGUAUCGUCAGCAUAAUGCCCAACACACAGUAGGUGCUCAAUAAAUAUCUGUGGAGUAAAUACAAUGAUGCUAUUGCUGGAAUUAAUGGAUAGUCAAGCCAGCUUCAGGAAAGGGUGUGGAAUUGUCACAAAAAGAUUCUUAAAGGAAACACGGUCUAUCAAUUCUGCUUUUAGAGUGUGUGUAUGUGCUAACAGAGUUCAAUACAUCUCUUUCCUUCUUCCUCUAAGUCACACAAACAUUUUUUCCUGCUUAUAUAAUAAAAUACAGUUAUUUUUAAAAGUUUAAAAAUAAAGUCACCCUUCAAAGAACAAGUGAAUACAUAUAUGAAAUACGGUUAGAGAUUGUUUUGAAUCAUUUUGGAAUUUGAAGAUGCUUUCUCUUUUUGCAACACUACUGAUGAAAAGCUUAGAGUUUGAUAAAUUAUAAACCUAAUGAGGCUUCUAACUCCUCUAGCUAGUCAUUAGCUGCCAGGAAAUGAUCAUUAUUACUUAAUUAUAAGAUGAAACUAAACAUUGGGAAACGUUGAAAGUGAUCUGAUUGGCCAAUACACUAAGGACUAAUUUCACAGGCAUGCCCUCUACAUACCAAUUAAAGCUGCAUCACCAUAAUAAAAUGCUGCAUGCUGUUGGCUGUGUUCUAUGUUGUCAUUUUCAGAUUAGAACAACAAAAAUAAUUCCAGUCUAGGGCACUUCCUGGCCACCAACGUCUGCUAGGACUUUCUAUACCUUGGAGGAUAAGGUCUCCUCCUGAGGGCUUAUUACUCCUCAGGAAAUGCCCCAAAUUCUAUGCACGAAGUAAGAGGCACUUAAAAACAAUAAAGGCAACAAAUCAAUCAAUUAUCUGUUUUCCUAGCUGUCAGGUAGAAAAAUACCAAAAUGCUUUCCAAAAGGAAAGUGUACAUACGUGACACUUUCAUUUUGAUUUUGAGGGACAGUUUAUUAGCAGAGUGAGAAUGGGUGUUAGGGGAGAAUAUUGAGGACUAGCACUCCAUUAGUAUGGGCUCUACUGGCACACAGAUUUAAAAACACCAUUAAGAAGGGUUCUCCAGGAUAAAAUUUUCCAUUCUAGCUCAAUGCAUUAUAACAUCUAUGUCAUUCUAUACCAAUACUGAUUUGAUAAAAUGUCAUCUGCUUUUCCUUUCCGGAGUCUCCCUUCCAUUUGCCUGGUAUUAAAGGAUAGCAUAUUGGUUGAGACUAGGGGCCUGGAGCUCCCAGACUGCCUGGGUUCCAAUCCCAAUGCUAUUAUUUAAACAUACUAUUGGGUAUUUGGGUGAGAAGGAGAGAGAAAAUGAAGAUUUUUUGCUGAAACAAAGGCACCACCCAACUCAAGUACAAGGUGUGUUGCAGAAUUUCUUUUCUU
This 2948-nucleotide long non-coding RNA is filed under the name Homo sapiens (human). RNAcentral describes it as "HSALNT0320380". Lineage: Eukaryota; Metazoa; Chordata; Mammalia; Primates; Hominidae. The record is from RNAcentral.